Molecule: long non-coding RNA, 423 nt
Organism: Tympanuchus pallidicinctus (lesser prairie-chicken)
Lineage: Eukaryota; Metazoa; Chordata; Aves; Galliformes; Phasianidae
Exons: 3
Source: RefSeq, a predicted model, not a curated record
AUGGGGUGUCAGCAGGGGUCACUGCCAUGGGGCGUCACCAGGGGGCUUCACCAGGGGGUGUCACCGUGGGGUAUCACCAAGGAUGUCACCAUGGGAUGCCACCAUGGGGUGUCAGCAGGGGGUGUCUCUGUUGGGCGUCACCAGGGGGGGUCACCAUGGGGUGUCACUAUAAGGUGGCACCAGGAAGUGUCUCCAUGGGGUGUCACCAGGGGUCAUCGCCAUGGGGCGUCACCAGGGGGUGUCACCAGGGGGUGUCACCGUGGGGUGUCACCAUAGGGUGUCUCUGUUGGGCAUCACCAUGGGGUGUCACCAUGUGGUGUCACCAUGUGGUGUCACCAUGGGGUGGCACCAGGAAGUGUCUCCAUGGGGUGUCACCACGGGGCCAAUCACCGCAGCACUCGGGGAUGGGCGCAGCUCACCUUC